RNAcentral lists this ribosomal RNA (433 nucleotides) under uncultured bacterium. RNAcentral describes it as "partial 16S ribosomal RNA". It matches the Rfam family "Bacterial small subunit ribosomal RNA", at positions 29 to 507 of the family's 1533-position model. The record is from RNAcentral.
AACGAACGCUGGCGGCAUGCCUAACACAUGCAAGUCGAGCGAGACCUUCGGGUCUAGUGGCGCACGGGUGCGUAACGCGUGGGAACCUGCCCUUAGGUUCGGAAUAACUCCCCGAAAGGGGUGCUAAUACCGGAUAAUGUCUUCGGACCAAAGAUUUAUCGCCUUUGGAUGGGCCCGCGUUGGAUUAGCUAGUUGGUAGGGUAAAAGCCUACCAAGGCGACGAUCCAUAGCUGGUCCGAGAGGAUGAUCAGCCACACUGGGACUGAGACACGGCCCAGACUCCUACGGGAGGCAGCAGUGGGGAAUAUUGGACAAUGGGCGAAAGCCUGAUCCAGCAAUGCCGCGUGAGUGAUGAAGGCCUUAGGGUUGUAAAGCUCUUUUACCCGGGAUGAUAAUGACAGUACCGGGAGAAUAAGCUCCGGCUAACUCCGUG